UGAGAGGAUGACCAGCCACACUGGAACUGAGACACGGUCCAGACUCCUACGGGAGGCAGCAGUGGGGAAUAUUGCACAAUGGGCGCAAGCCUGAUGCAGCCAUGCCGCGUGUAUGAAGAAGGCCUUCGGGUUGUAAAGUACUUUCAGCGGGGAGGAAGGCGAUAAGGUUAAUAACCUUGUCGAUUGACGUUACCCGCAGAAGAAGCACCGGCUAACUCCGUGCCAGCAGCCGCGGUAAUACGGAGGGUGCAAGCGUUAAUCGGAAUUACUGGGCGUAAAGCGCACGCAGGCGGUCUGUCAAGUCGGAUGUGAAAUCCCCGGGCUCAACCUGGGAACUGCAUUCGAAACUGGCAGGCUAGAGUCUUGUAGAGGGGGGUAGAAUUCCAGGUGUAGCGGUGAAAUGCG
RNAcentral lists this ribosomal RNA (405 nucleotides) under Enterobacter hormaechei. RNAcentral describes it as "bacterial SSU rRNA". It matches the Rfam family "Bacterial small subunit ribosomal RNA", at positions 293 to 690 of the family's 1533-position model. The record is from RNAcentral. Lineage: Bacteria; Pseudomonadati; Pseudomonadota; Gammaproteobacteria; Enterobacterales; Enterobacteriaceae.